AUCCCAGGACCCCGGGACCAUGACCUGAGCUGAAGGCAGACGCUGAACCAACUGAGCCACCCAGGCGCCCUCUUCAUGAAUUUUCUGACCCAGAAAAUGGAAGGUUGUCAGUUGAACUUGAUUCUGAUGAGGUGAUAGAUUGAGCAAGUGUCACCUAAUAGAAAAUAUGCAUAGAAAAUCUCAGAAAUUCCUAUAAUCACAUUCCCUACCUUGAGUUCAUUGUUCCCAGAUUUCUAUUAGAAAGGGACAUAGAGAAGAGUUAUUGCAUGUUUGGAAUAGAAAGUAAAUUUUAAAGAGUACAGCUUAAUACCUAACAUAGAGUAGAUGUGCUAGUCUUUGUAAAACAAAUAGUGUUGGAAUAAUCAAAUAUCCAUAUGUACACACAGAAAGAACCUCGAUUCCUACCUCACAUGGUUCAUAAAAAUUAACUCAAAAUGAGUCAUAGACCUCUAGUAGAAGAAUCAAAAAUAUAAAACUUCUAAAAGAAAAUAUUUAAAAAAUUUUUGUGGCUUUAAACAGAUUUUGAGAUAGGACAUAAAAACCAUGAACCAUAAAAGAAAACACUGAUGAAUUAAAUUUCAUCAAUACUGAAAACAUUUGCUCUUCCAAAAAACAUUAAAACAAUGAAAAGUCAAGCCACACAUUAGGAGAAAAUAUUUUCAAAACAUGUUUCUGAUAAAGGACUUGUACCCUGAAUAUAGAAAGAAUUCUUCUAACCCAAAAAGAAGACAAACAACUCCAUUUUCUUAAAUGGCCAGAAUAUUUGCUGAGUGGCAAAUAAACACAUAAAGAGAUGUUUAACAUCUUAAUCAUUUAGGAAAUGCUAAUUCAAACCACAACGAGAUACCACUCAUACCCAACAGUAUGGUUGAAAUGAAAAAGACUGAAAAUACCAAGUGCUGAGAAGAGGUUGAGUAACCGGAACUCUCUUGGAGUGAGAAUAAAAAGUUAAACAGCCACUUUGGAAAACAGUUGGGCUACUCCUUAUAAAGUUAAACAUUCACUUGCCAUGUGACCUAUGACCCCACUCCUAAAUAUUUACCAAGAAAAAUGAAAACACGCUCAUGCAAAUGGUUCUACAUGAACGUUAAUGAUCGCUUUCUUUGUGACAGCUGAAACUGGAAACAACCCGAAUGUCUAUCAAUCGGUAAACAGAUAAACUGUGGUCCAUCCAUCCAGAUGGCGGAAAACCACACGUGCAACAAUAUGGAGGAAUCUUGAAAGCCUUUGGUAAGUGAAAGAAGCCAGACACAGAAGACUCACUAUCACAUGAUUCCCUUUAUAUCUAAAAAUUAGAAAAGGCAAAAGUAAAAUGAUAGAAAACAGAUCGCUGCUUGCCGGGGUGGGGAAUAGGGAAGAGACUGAACACAAAGGAACGUGAAGAUGGAGAUGUUCUGUGUCACAAUUAUGGCGUUGGCAACACUAAUGAGUAUAUUUUUUAAGACUGCAUAAAGUUAGUGAAUUGUACUAUAUGUUAAUUCUACUUCAUAUCACUGAUUAACAAGAGCAGUGAGGCAUAGCGCUGAUUCUCAAAGGUGCUAUCAAGGCCUCUGCUUUCUUGGAAAAGCAGCUUCAGAAGAUAGGUUUUUCUCCUAGAGAAGAGCACCAGAAUACAUGUUCACCUUCCUUCCUGAAAGAAGCGUUUCAGUUUCCCUUGGCUAGCCUGGAGGCUGGGCGGGACCAUGGGCUCUGGCGCCAAACCGCUCCAGUCUGUGUCGCUCCUAGUCCACCUGGUAGCUGCGGGACUUUGGGCAAGUUCCUGAGCUCUGGGUGCAUCAGUGCCUCCAUCUGUGAAAAAGCAUAGUAAGAGAUCCAGGCUCAGAGGGUUGUUCAGAGUGGGACUAACGGGUCACCUUAGGAUUUCAGGCAGAGCACGUGCCAUCAUUAUUCAAUUAGGGGAACUUAAUAACGUACCCCAAAAUACAAACGAUUGGAAAAACGAGAAGCCGAUCUCAGAGUUUCCCGAAAUUGGAAUAAACUAGGAAGCAAUUCUUUCCCAGCUGUGCCAUCCACUUACUGGGAACAAAUUAACUGGAACGACAGAGCUUGUUUCAAUUUGCUGCAUGCGCUAGUUUUCUCCAGGGUCUGUGAGCAGGUCUGGAAACAAAGAAAGAGCUUCAAGAGCAAGCUUGACCAGGACCGCGUCGACAACCGUUAUGCUUGUCGGAGAUCUGAGCCACAGACAGGGAACAGAAACGAAUUCACACAGAGAGAAGGUAUUGCACUUUCCUCUUGCCUGGAGACAGAGGGAACGUGCCAUGACCUUCCUGCUGGUCGGGUCCACUCUCCUUCCGCGUUCGCCUGAAUGAAUCACUUGUUCCCCAGGGAAACAGAAGAAUGUUUUUCUUUCGGUCUUGAAGAUAUUUUAAACACAUGACAUAUCUUCAGGCUGAAAUUCAGUCCCUUGUUUGUCUUCAGGUAUAAAGAAUCUUAAAAAGGAAGUUCAGUAGCUAAAAAAUAUCUUUAACUUCCUUAAACUGGUCACAGAAUCCUAAACCUUAAGUCUAUAUUCACUCACUACCCAGAUACUGCUAUCUACCUGAAGUUUCCACAGGAAAAUAAAAAUCCAGCUUUCCCUAAUAGGAGUCACUUAAAAUGUGAUUUCUAGAAGAGAUCAGGAAAGUAUCAACAGAAUAGUCCACACUGGAUUUCCCUUAAAGGGAAAAAUUUCCAGAACAGAGAAAUGUUUCUGUCUGACCACUCUUCAUAGUUUCAUGCAGCUUUUACUGCUUAAGUGACCAUAAAGCCAUAUUUGGUUUUAAUCUUGAGAUUUAAUAAAUAUUUUUUCUAUUUAUUUCUGAA
Molecule: non-coding RNA, 2802 nt
Organism: Callorhinus ursinus (northern fur seal)
Lineage: Eukaryota; Metazoa; Chordata; Mammalia; Carnivora; Otariidae
Source: RefSeq, a predicted model, not a curated record